Non-coding RNA from Schizosaccharomyces pombe (fission yeast), 384 nucleotides. NCBI's taxonomy places the organism in Eukaryota, Fungi, Ascomycota, Schizosaccharomycetes, Schizosaccharomycetales, Schizosaccharomycetaceae. The record is from the annotation of a GenBank genome assembly.
AUUGCAGAUGUUUGUGAUUCGCCUUCUAUACGAGAGCGAGGAGUAGCUGGUGUAGCUGGUGGACUUAACGACCUUAGAGAAGGAGAAUUCCUAUUCAAAAGCGAACCACGGUAGCGAGAACGAAAAGCCGAUCUUUCAGUAGUUCUAUCACGAUUACCAUUUUCCGAAUUGCCUUCAUCGUUACGAUGCCGCUUUGCUCUUCGAAGACCUAAGACUCGCUGCAAAGAGGGAAAACGAUUCCACAGCCUACUAAAGCCAGAAUUUUGUCGAUCUGAAUCAUUAAUGUUUUCACUUUCUGAUGAAACCGCCUGCAUACUUGCGUCCCUUUGAAUUUGCCGACUGGGAAUGGAUUCACCUUGCCCCAUUUGUGUAGUGAGUGCAGUA